UUGGAGGGCAAGUCUGGUGCCAGCAGCCGCGGUAAUUCCAGCUCCAAUAGCGUAUAUUAAAGUUGUUGCAGUUAAAAAGCUCGUGGUUGAAUUUCGGGGUCAGCAGGUUGGUCGUGCCACUGGUAUGCACUGGCUUCGCUGAUUCCUCCUUCUUGAAGAACUGUAAUGUCAUUAAUUUGGUGUUGCAGGGAAACAGGACUGUUACUUUGAAAAAAUUAGAGUGUUUAAAGCAGGCUAACGCUUGAAUACAUUAGCAUGGAAUAAUGAAAUAGGACGUUCGAUCCUAUUUUGUUGGUUUCUAGGAUUGACGUAAUGAUUAAUAGGGAUAGUUGGGGGCAUUAGUAUUCAAUUGUCAGAGGUGAAAUUCUUGGAUUUAUUGAAGACUAACUACUGCGAAAGCAUUUGCCAAGGAUGUUUUCAUUAAUCAAGAACGAAAGUUAGGGGAUCGAAGACGAUCAGAUACCGUCGUAGUCUUAACCAUAAACUAUGCCGACUAGGGAUCGGAUGAUGUUAAUUUUUUAAUGACUCAUUCGGCGCCUUACGGGAAAC
Molecule: ribosomal RNA, 549 nt
Filed under: uncultured Glomeromycotina
Lineage: Eukaryota; Fungi; Glomeromycota
Description: SSU rRNA
Rfam family: Eukaryotic small subunit ribosomal RNA
Source: RNAcentral